Molecule: long non-coding RNA, 688 nt
Organism: Aethalodelphis obliquidens (Pacific white-sided dolphin)
Lineage: Eukaryota; Metazoa; Chordata; Mammalia; Artiodactyla; Delphinidae
Exons: 2
Source: RefSeq, a predicted model, not a curated record
GGGUGCGAGCGAGAGCUCUUUAGGGCAGAGCGACCUGGACAUCUCUGAAAAUGAAAAACUGUCGUGAGAAACUUGCUACAAAUGCAAACCGUCAAAAUGCUGAAGCUUUCUGAUGGGUGAUCUUCGUUUAUUUCUCCAGACGAUGCAGGCGAAGUGAUUAUUUCUAGAACUCACCUCUUUAAAUGCUCUCAAUCGUUGGAGUGUUUUUUGGCGCUCUUGGUUUAUCCAUUCUUUUUUCUUUUGCUCCUCCUCUUUUUUCUGGUCUCUUUUCUGUAUUUAAACAAACACAUAUUUGUAAACUUCUCAGAAGUCCUGAGAAAGAAAGGGACUGUCACCUGACCUUAUUGCCUCCUCUGGCCCCCACGUCUGCCCCCCACGCCGCAGGGCCAGACUGCGCUGUCCCCUCAGGAUCAAGGCUGACGGGGCAAUGGAGCUCCACUUUGCACAAACUUAAGCCCAUGUGUCAUGUUAUGCAAAUAUAAAACAUUUUUCUUCAACCACUCACCCUCUGAACGCUAUGAUGCUGAUGAAAAUAUUUUAUGCUUUCUUCAGCCUGCUGCAAUCUGAGUCGAUGAUUUUCUUUGCAUUGAUCCUGGGGAAAUAAUAUAAUUUCAUAGAUCUGUUUUUCACCUGGUUAUAAAUUGAACGCCACAUGGUUUUUAAUAUUACCAUGGGCUAUAGCAUAAAA